Molecule: unclassified non-coding RNA, 500 nt
Filed under: Hevea brasiliensis (rubber tree)
Lineage: Eukaryota; Viridiplantae; Streptophyta; Magnoliopsida; Malpighiales; Euphorbiaceae
Source: RNAcentral
UGCCCUUUUUUUAGCUGCUAUAUAAAUGUUCGUGUCUCUCUCUAGAAUCUGCAGGUUAAGAUCUGCAAUCAGAUGCUUUAAAUCUUUCUGAUUACAGGUCAGAUUUCCCAUUUAUAUGUUCAAAUAUUAUUUGUUGUGUGUAUUUCUUUUUCUCUUUUUGGGUUAAUCAUGAUUUUGUGUAGAUCUUUAUUCAUUUCAUUUUUUGUUUUUGUAUGGGUUUGAUUUGAUUGCUGUUUUUAACUAUAGUUUUUACAUCUAUGUAUGCGUUAAGAUUUGAGCCCUUCUUUGCCCUUUUUUUUAUUGAUUGAGGGGUUAUUAGUGUUUCUGGCUGAAUCAUUUUAAAAUUUUUCUUGCAGAUAUUGUGAUAUCAACUGAUUUGGCAAUAGAUUUUGGUAGGGUUUGAAUUCUUAAUUUGAUUAAAGGCCUGGGAUUGAGCAAUUUUGUUUUUUAUUUGUCGUGCUUUGGUUCUGGUUCUUGAGUCCAAGGAAUGUCGCUGUUGC